Long non-coding RNA from Spinacia oleracea (spinach), 837 nucleotides. RefSeq lists it as uncharacterized. Lineage: Eukaryota; Viridiplantae; Streptophyta; Magnoliopsida; Caryophyllales; Amaranthaceae. The record is from RefSeq and is a predicted model, not a curated record. The transcript is spliced from 3 exons.
UAUAUAAGGCGGUCUUUCCUGUAAGACCGCCUUGUUGUCACCAAGCUGCCACGUAUGAGCUGAGUCAGCGUUUUAUCUCCCAAAAAAUAUAUAUACAUAUUUUGCAUUUCUUUUUCAUUUUUAUUUUCAUAACCCUAAUUCUCUCUCCUCCAAAUUUCUCUGACCCCUUCUCUCUCCUCCAAACCUCUCUGAUCCUCUCUCUCCUCCAAACCUCUCGGCCAACGCCGGUGAUAACCUGGAGAAUCGAGGUCGACGGCGGAGGAUACCGGCGACGCGGUUAGGGCGGAGUUUUGUUGAUUUUGCAGAUUAAUUUACCGGAAAGAUGAGAAUGUGGUGGCCGACGAGCAGCGGCGAAGGGAGGAAGGAGAUCGUGCGAUGUUCAGGAAGAGGAGAGGAGAGACCGAGGAGGUUGCGCGAUGAGUCGUCGUGGCUGCUGCUGCUCCUCGUCGGACAACCUAGUUAGGAAAUUGCAUGAGGAAGAUGAGGUGUUCCUUAUGAGGAGGAGGCGGAUUUGCCGCUGGUUGUUGGUGGUGGUGGUUGCCGCUGCCGCAAUUAGAGGAAGGAGACGUAGCGCCUGAUACUGAAGUUGCUCAGUCACGCGGUGGCUACUAGGCGAACGAAGCGAAGCUGCUAACCUCGCUAGGGUUUCGUAGCUGGAAGGAAGCGUUACUUGUUGGUCGAUUAUGCUGUUGUUGGUGUUUUAAUUUCGUUUUAGUUAAGAAUUGUAAUGUUUUAGUUAUGGUUUUUCUGUAUUUAGUUAAGAAAUAAAUGGUUUAGUUGAUUUUCUUAAGUGAAUAAUUGUUUAGUUAAAAUUCAUAUGAGUUUAGUCAACAUUUU